UAUCACAAGGGACCUAGCCUAAGGAUUAUCAUCGGGAUGGACACUACUGCUAAGGGGUUUCCUCAGCCAUACAUGUCCUUAAGGCAACCAUGAGGGGGAUGAAGUACGCCAAUCAACAUUUAAUUCAUCAACACCUAUAAGUUGCGAACUUGCUAGUGUUCCACUUGGACUAUCUAGAAAGUCCGCGGUCGUCAUCUAUACUUCGCUAGAUGACUACAACAACAACAACAACAUUUAAUUCAUCAACACCUAUAAGUUGCGAACUUGCUAGUGUUCCACUUGGACUAUCUAGAAAGUCCGCGGUCGUCAUCUAUACUUCGCUAGAUGACUACAACAACAACAACAACAACAACAUCGAGGCCUCUCACCAUUUUAACACCCAUCAACUAUUUCAUCUACCCAUGUUCUACCCAACAUAUUUUGUUGAUAAAAAGCAUAUACAGUUUAAACCUUGUAUAAAACAUCAAUUCAACAGUCACCUCAAAUAAACAAUUAACAUAUUUACACAUAACACGUAUUUCAAGGUAAAUACUUCAUAUCUAUGUGUAAAUUGAAAGUAACUACACACUCACGUAUUUUUGUGAACAUCGGGCAGCAAUUCGUUUCCUAAAACGAUCGUUUUUAAUAAAACCGGAAGUUUUAUUGAGAAACCGGGCUCUACAAAAGUCGGGCUUAAAACCGAAAAGAUAAAUUAUUUGGGCUUCUCGGGCACUUUGUGGGGUAUUCCGGGCUUUACAAUUGAUAUCGGGGCUUUGCGGGAUGUUAACAUGAAAGAAAUAUGGAGAAAGGGGCUCAAAAUGACAAUUUCUUAAAAAUAUCCAAGAAGGCUCGCAGCCUUCUAUUUAUAGGGGGAAGGUUCUGAUCGGACGGCUGAAAAGCUUCUGAUCCAACGGAUGAGAAGUCUCGCACAUGGCUCGCACCUGCGAGGGCUCGCUGGCGGCUUCUAAAUGGACCGCGGCUUACUGGUGCACCUGCGAGGCUCGGACACACGCGGCAGCAUGGCGAAGCUUCGGCUGGGGAUCAGGCUGCUCCGGAUUGGGCCUCCUCCUCGGUCGAAUCAGAAGAGGACACGUGGCUUCGCAUGACUCAGCAGCCUCUGUGACUCAGCAGCCUGAUGACUUAGCAGCCUGGUGACUCAACAGGACACGUGUCACAUUCUAAGCGAGGGUGACGUGGCAAAGUGUGACUAUGCGAAUUUUCUCGAUUUUCGCGCCAAAACUUCUAAAAUCCAUAACUUUCGCAUACGAGCUCCGUUCUUGACAUUCUUUAUAUGCACGCGUAGCUAAAAUUACAAUCUACAACUUCCGUUUAGACUUCGUCGGCUAAUUUUGAAUUUAAAUUUUAUAUUAUUAUUUUUAACAGACCGGGACAGGAAAUCCGUUAAAAAUUCAUAACUUCUUCAUCCGACGUCCGUUUUCGUCAGACUUUUUACCGUUGUGCUCCUAAUGACGAGACCUUCAAUUCUCAUUUAGGUUGUGUCGGCUAAAAAUCGUUCGAUCUAAAAUUCGAGUUUUUAGCUGUCUACUGCUACGCUGAAACUUCGAAAAAUCAUAACUUCCUCAUACGAAGUCAGAUUUGGGCGUUCUUUUUAUCGAACUUCUCGGUUUAACGAAUACUACGACUUUCGUUUAGAUUACUAAGGCUAAAAAGUAGUUUAUCAAAAACUCACUUUUUACGACAUUCAGCACCGUGCCGGUUUUGUCGCGAAACUUCGACAGGUCAUAACUUCUUCGUUAUAACUCGGAUUUUGGUAUUCUUUAUAUCCCCGAAAUCCUUGUUUCGACCACUACAACUUUAUGUAAAGAUAUCGGGCUUAUCUCACACUUUAAUUUUGACGCUUAUUUUUAUUUUUAAUUAAUUAAGCCCUAAUAAUUAAGCAUAAAACACAUAAUUCACAUAAUAUUCACAUAAUUCCUUUUCAUUUCUUCAAAUCGAGUUACAAAGGUUAACCUAAACUAUCAAAUCAAUAUAAAUGCCUAGGCUAGAAACACGAGUGUUACAAUUCUCUCCCCCUUAGGAUGAUUUCGUCCCCGGAAUCACAUAUCACCAAACAAGUGCGGGUAGCGAUUCAUCAUGUCACUCUCCGCUUCCCAGGUGAGAUUUGGUCCAUUCGUAUGUUUCCAGCGCACAAGCACUAAAUCAACCAUCUUGCGUCGUAACUUCAUAGUCUUAAAGUCAAUAAUUGCCUCAGGUUCCUCGAUCAACCUCUUGUUUUCAUCCAACCUUAACUCAGAAAUUGGAAUUAUGUCGGGCACAUCUCCUGUGAACUUUCUCAAAUAACACACAUGAAAGGUGUUAUGAAUACCCUCUAGUUCUCCCGGUAACUCUAGCUUGUAAGCUUGAUUCCCGAUUCUCUGAAGAACUUUAAAUGGUCCAAUAAACCUUGGACUCAACUUCCCUCUCUUACCAAAUUUUAUAAGUCCCUUCCACGGCGAGACUUUAAGUAAAACCGAAUCUCCAACAUCGAAGGAUAUCAGUUGUCUUUUCUUGUCAGCAUAACUCUUUUGUCGAUCUUGAGCAGCUAACAUCCUUUCCCUUAUCACUUUUAACUUAUCAGCAGUCUCAUGGACUAUUUUAGGUCCCAUAAACUGCUUUUCCUGAGCUUCCAACCAACAUGAUGGCGUUCGACACUUUUCCCCAUACAAAGCGUGAUAAGGUGCCAUCUUAAUGCUUGAGAGGAAACUAUUAUUAUAGGAGAAUUAUACUAAAGGUAAGUGUUCAUCCCAGUUACCUUGGAAUUCUAGGGUACAUGCUCUCAGCAUAUCCUCCAAUGUUUGAAUCGUUCGCUCGCUCUGACCAUCGGUUUGCAGAUGGUAAGUUGUACUCAAACACAACCUGGUACCCAAUUCCUCUUGUAGACUCCUCCAAAACCUUGAGGUAAAACGGCUAUCACGAUCGGACACAAUCGUUAACGGAACACCGUGAAGCCUCACAAUUUCCUUCACGUAAGAAUUCGCAAGUUUAUCCAUAGACCAUUUCUCUUUGGCCGCUAUGAAAUGCGCACUCUUAGUGAAGCGAUCAACGACCACCCAAAUCAUGUCGUGACCGUUCCUUGUUCUGGGCAGUUUAGUCACAAAAUCCAUGGUGAUGUCUUCCCAUUUACCCAUGGGUACGGGUAAAGGUUCUAAACUCCCAUACGGUUUCUGAUGUUGUGCCUUAACCCUAGCACAAGUUACACACUCGGCCACAUACUUAGCAACAUCGAGCUUCAUCGUCGGCCACCAAUAAUAGGGUUUUAGAUCCCUAUACAUUUUCGUACUGCCGGGAUGAAUUGAGUACAUGGUCUUGUGAGCUUCUUCCAUCAGAAGAUCUCUUAUUCCGCCCGUCUUAGGUACCCAAAUUCUAUCUUGAAAUACCUUCAACCCUUGGUUGUUUGUACCGAACACUAACGUUUUGCCUAAACGUUCUUCCUUUCGGUCAUUUUUCUCUAAAGCUUCCUCUUGAGCUUUCUUUAUACUUUCCACAAUUGUCGAGACAACUUCAAUUCUCAACGCUCUUGGCCUUUUCUUUUCAAGGUUUACCUUCCGACUGAGAGCAUCGGCAACAACAUUUGCUUUACCAGGGUGGUAAAGUAUCUCACAGUCGUAGUCCUUGAGUAACUCUAGCCAGCGUCGUUGCCUCAUGUUCAAUUCCUUCUGAUUAAAGAGAUAUUGGAGACUCUUAUGAUCAGUGAAAAGUUUACACUUUGUGCCAUAAAGAUAAUGCCUCCAUAUCUUCAAGGCAAAUACUACCGCUGCCAACUCCAGAUCAUGAGUGGGGUAGUUCUUUUCAUGUUCCUUCAAUUGCCUCGAUGCAUACGCGAUCACUUUAUCCCUUUGGGUCAGAACACAACCUAACCCAACUCCGGAUGCAUCGCUAUAAACUGCAAAGUCAUCAACUCCUUCAGGCAAUGAAAGAAUCGGUGCUUCACACAAUCUCUUCUUCAACUUCUCAAAGGCUUCCUUAUGCUUCUCAUUCCAAGCAUAAGUGGCUCCUUUGUGGGUCAAAGCUGUUAAUGGAAUAGCAAUCGAAGAAAAGCCUUGGAUAAACCUUCGGUAAUAUCCAGCUAAUCCUAAAAAGCUUCGAAUCUCCAUAGGACUCUUUGGUUGUUCCCACUUCAUUACAGCUUCAAUCUUUGCUGGGUCAACCAUUAUUCCUUCUUGGUUAACCACAUGACCUAAAAAUUGGACUUCUUGAAUCCAAAAUUCACACUUGGAGAACUUUCCAUACAACUUCUCCUUUUUCAGGACUUCUAGCACUUCACGUAGAUGCUUUUCAUGCUCCUUCUUGCUUUUCGAAUAAAUCAAGAUAUCGUCUAUGAAUACUAUCACAAAUUUAUCUAAGAAUGGUUUACAAACCCUAUUCAUCAAAUCCAUGAAAGCUACUGGGGCAUUGGUUAGUCCGAACAACAUAACCAAAAAUUCAUAAUGUCCAUAUCUCGUUCUAAAUGCAAUCUUUUCGAUAUCCUGCUCUCUCACCUUUAGUUGAUGGUAUACCGACCUAAGAUCGAUCUUCAAGAAAUGGCUCGAACCCUGUAACUGGUCGAACAAGUCAUCGAUCCUUGGCAACGGGUACUUGCUUUUUAUCGUCACUUUGUUCAGCUCUCUGUAAUCAAUGCACAUUCUCAUGCUUCCAUCUUUCUUCUUUACAAAUAACACAGGGGCUCCCCAGGGUGAUGAACUAGGUAAAAUGAAACCCUUGUCCAAUAACUCCUGAAGUUGUGUCAUAAGUUCUUUCAUUUCGGUUGGCGCUAAUCGAUAAGGUGCUUUCGCUAUCGGCGUCGUUCCUGGUAACAAGUCGAUACGAAAUUCUACUUGCCGAUCAGGGGGCAAUCCGAGAAGAUCUUCGAAAAAGACUUUCGAAUAAUCACACACCACCGAAAUAUUAUGCACCUCCUUCUUUUCCAUCUUGGCAUCGAUCAUGAACGCUAGAUAGGAUGUACCUCCCUUGGCCAAACACUUUCUGGCUUUCCUUAAGGAAAUGAUUACAGAUUUUACUCUGCGUUUGUCUCCGUACACCAUAAACGACUCUUUCUCUGGCAGGUUUACUUUUACUAUCUUCUUUCUACAUAGUAUUUCUGCAUCAUUGGCGCUAAGCCAAUCCAUUCCUAAAACUAUGCCGAAUCCGUUUAACUCGAUAGGAAAUAAUUCCUCUUGGAACUUAUUCCCAUCCAAGUCAAUGAGGAUGUUUUUCAUACGAUGGCAAACAAAUACAAACUUGCCACUAGCAAUCUCGACUAAUAGGGCAUUAACUAGCCUAUCUACAGGCAAAGCUAGCUUUCUACCAAAUUCAUGCGAUAUAAAGGAGUAAUUGGCUCCAGAAUCAAACAAAAUUUGGGCAGGCAAUUCGUUUACGAGAAAGGUACCUGAAGCGACAUCGACUUCUUUCGCAGCUUCGAGCGUCAUCUGCAGGGCUCUUGCCUUCAACUUUGGUGGUAGAUUGGGUUUUGCUGCGUCCUUCUUCUUCAGGCAGUCCCUCAAAAUAUUCCCUUCUUCAUUGCAUCCAAAACAUACGUUCUUAUUGAAGGUGCAUUCAUUGGCAUAAUGCCCUGGAUUUCCACAUUUGUAACAAGUGACUUCCAUGCUGCACUUCCCAGCAUGUUUCUUCUUACACUUGUCACACCACUUGGCUUCGGCUCCUCCUCCAAACUUUCUCGAACCAGUCUUCGAGAACUUAUUCUUUUUAUUGGAACCUGAAGUUCCUUAAAACUUUCUCUUUUCGCCAACUUCAACCUUGCUGGCGGCUCUUCCCUAAAUCAUGUCCUCCACAAACUUGGCAGCCCAGAUAGCUGCCUCCAAAGUAAGUACCCAACGUACUGGCACCGCAUACUCCCAUGGAAGUCCCUUUGCGUACCUGUCUAUUUUUGCCAACUCAUCUAGGACAAUAUGCAAAGCAAACUCCAUUUUGUCUAUGAAGUUAUUCGUAUAUUCGUCAACGGUCAUACUCCCCUUCUGCAACGUUAGAAAUUGGUUUUCAAACUCAAGUACGUUUUGGGCCGAGCAGUACUUGCGCUUGAAGUGCACCAAGAACUCUGCCCAAGUUAAUUGCAGUGGCGCAUUAGGGCUUAGGGUUUUCCCCAAAGUGCUCCACCAACGAGCAGCACUACCCCUGAACUGACGUACUGCAAACGUAGUUUGUAAGGAUCUUCUUUUCCAUUGAAGGUCGAUGGCUUGCAAGUCAUAAAGUCCUUAUACUUGCACCCAUUUCUCUCCAUUCCACCCUCGUGGUUAUUCCUCCCAACCACAAGCGGUUCACUAUGACCAACUGAUCUACUGUUGUUCCCUUCUUCAGAUCGAUCGUCAUUUAGUUCACGUUGUUCAACAGGAACUGAAGGUUCAUCCCUGUCGUUCAGCAACAUUUGCCUCAAUUCUUCCUUCUGUUCAGCCAACAUGGUCUGAAUCAUGGUUCGUACUCCAGCCAUGGUGAUGGGUUCGGGUGCAGCUCCUACUAUAGGCACCUAUUCCACCAUUUGAGGUUGAGGUUGUUGGUUUCUAUUUGCAUUUCCAGCUCCACUUCGAGUUCUUUCCAUUUCAAUCUAUAUACCGAAUAAGGCGAAUUUAGGCCUUUAUUCUUGUUAGACAUUUCAAUUCCCUUAUCACUCCGAAACGUUUACAUGUUAGUUCUAAUCUCGUAUUCAUACGCUUAGAAUCCUACAUACAUAAGGUUUCCAGAUUCGGUCGGCAACAUACCAUAGAUCCGAACAAAUAAUGGCACACAUGGCAAACACAUAACAUUUAGCACAUAAGGGCAUUUUAGGCAUCUUCCCUAAAAUAAACUAGUGCUCGUGUCUAAAAUAUGGUAGACACUCAUCUCACAAUCAUCACUUAGCAUUCUAAGUUCAAGUCUAGAAAUUCUACAAUUUCUUAGUUCGCUUAAACUAAUGCUCUGAUACCAACUGUGACAUCCCCAUAUUUCUCGGCCAGAAAUGACCGAUUUAAUUUAUCAAAACUGAGUGACAUCCCCCAUAUUUCUCGGCCAGAAUUGGUCCCCAAACAACAUAUGAUAAAAGUUUAUCAAAAUCAUUCAUUAAGAAGGUAUAUAUUUUCCAUAUAUAUAUCAAAACCUCGGGAUGUCAUGUUCCGAUACUGAUCAAAAGCAUAAACAAGACAUUAUAAGCCUUUCAACAGUUAUUUACAACUACUGGCCUAUAAUCCAAAAAUCUCUCGUCAUCCUCCGACUAUGCUCGGGGUACACUACCUGUAAUCAUAAAACUGAGUGGGUCAGGCUUGGGAGCCUGGUGAGCAUAUAGGGUUUUCAACCCACAAUAAUAAUAUACUUAUUAAGUUCACCAAUCAACAAUAACCCUGAUUACCCAUUCCCGUUGUCCUCACUUUACGUCCCUAAACACCUAUCACAAGGGACCUAGCCUAAGGAUUAUCAUCGGGAUGGACACUACUGCUAAGGGGUUUCCUCAGCCAUACAUGUCCUUAAGGCAACCAUGAGGGGGAUGAAGUACGCCAAUGAACAUUUAAUUCAUCAACACCUACAAGUUGCGAACCUGCUAGUGUUCCACUGGACUAUCUAGAAAGUCCGUGGUCGUCAUCUAUACUUCGCUAGAUGACUACAACAACAACACAACAUCGACAUCGAGGCCUCUCACCAUUUUAACACACAUCAACUAUUUCAUCUACCCAUGUUCUACCCAACAUAUUUUGUAGAUAAAAAGCAUAUACAGUUUAAAACUUGUAUAAAACAUCAAUUCAACAGUCACCUCGAAUAAACAAUUAGCAUAUUUACACAUAACACGUAUUUCAAGGUAAAUACU
RNAcentral lists this long non-coding RNA (7744 nucleotides) under Lactuca sativa (garden lettuce). RNAcentral's name for it is "long non-coding RNA (LSAT_LNC004919)". Lineage: Eukaryota; Viridiplantae; Streptophyta; Magnoliopsida; Asterales; Asteraceae. The record is from RNAcentral.